UGUGAUCAUCUUCAGUUUUCAGCUGGGAUGUGAUCAUCUUCACUUCUGAACGAACCCCCCAAACAUGUGAUAAAGAAAAAGCAUAGAAUGACUAAUAGAAAGAAAAAGAAUUAUUAAUUAACAUCUCCUAUAAACACAAUGCUUGGUGAGAAAAAUGAAAAAUUUUUGAAUAAACUACGUGCAACUAAUCAAUCAAUUAAUAAGUAUACAUAAUUGUAUUCUGCUAUUUCCAGUAUCCAUAUAUAACGUCAAAGGUUGUACAAAUGUAUUAGUUUCAUAUUUUUAAAUAAAUGUUCAAUUUUUGUGCAAUGUACAUGGUCAUCUGGUUUUACAUUUAAAAUCUUUUAUGUUUUCUUUAUAUAAAUUUGGAAUACAGUUUCCCCUUACUUUGAAUAGCUAUAAAGUGUCUUUUGAGACUUUUCUUGUAUCUGAUGCUUGUGUAGUGUCUUUUUUAAUGACUUUACUUUUAGCUUUUAUACUGUACACACACAAAAUUUUAUGAGCUUAAAAAAAUGCAUAUGUAUACUUUAUCAUUCAAUGUAUGGUGUAUCGUUUUGUCAAAUGUCGACAAUUUUUCUUGAAUUUAAACCUUUUUUUUCGUCUAAAGUGGUAACAUGUUUUGUUUUUUUUAAAUAUUGUUUUCAUCUAUAAUUAAAAUAACAAAACAAAAACGUUGAAUAAAAAAUUUUGUUUCAUUUCAAAAG
This is a non-coding RNA of Biomphalaria pfeifferi, 704 nucleotides long. Lineage: Eukaryota; Metazoa; Mollusca; Gastropoda; Planorbidae. The record is from the annotation of a GenBank genome assembly.